GACGAACGCUGGCGGCGUGCCUAAUACAUGCAAGUUGAGCGCUGAAGGUUGGUACUUGUACCAACUGGAUGAGCAGCGAACGGGUGAGUAACGCGUGGGGAAUCUGCCUUUGAGCGGGGGACAACAUUUGGAAACGAAUGCUAAUACCGCAUAAAAACUUUAAACACAAGUUUUAAGUUUGAAAGAUGCAAUUGCAUCACUCAAAGAUGAUCCCGCGUUGUAUUAGCUAGUUGGUGAGGUAAAGGCUCACCAAGGCGAUGAUACAUAGCCGACCUGAGAGGGUGAACGGCCACAUUGGGACUGAGACACGGCCCAAACUCCUACGGGAGGCAGCAGUAGGGAAUCUUCGGCCAUGGACGAAAGUCUGACCGAACAACGCCGCGUGAGUGAAGAAGGUUUUCGGAUCGUAAAACUCUGUUGGUAGAGAAGAACGUUGGUGGGAGUGGAAAGCUCAUCAAGUGACGGUAACUAACCAGAAAGGGACGGCUAACUACGUG
This 497-nucleotide ribosomal RNA is filed under the name uncultured bacterium. RNAcentral describes it as "partial 16S ribosomal RNA". It matches the Rfam family "Bacterial small subunit ribosomal RNA", at positions 28 to 507 of the family's 1533-position model. The record is from RNAcentral.